GCUGCCCUUCUGGUGCCCUCUUCGCGUGCCCCCGUGUCCCGUGCAGAGCGUCCCUGCCUCUCUGUCCUCGCUCAACUCGCGGCUCACGAUCCUAUGUCCCGAAUGUGGGGAUGGGGAAAGAAAAUGAGGAGCAACGCCUGCCUCCUCCAGCACAGAGUCAGGCACAGCUGCGGGUUCAAAAGCUCAAGUGGCAGUGGGGAUACGGAGUCCUUGGAAACACGAGCGCGUGGCCUUCGAACGGAAGUCGGAAGCCAGUUCCGACCAGCCUGGGGGACUCUGGGUCUUGGCUUCCGGCUGAAGCUGCUGUCCUCCUCUGCUGGUCCGGUGAAGUGCGUUAAGGAGUCACCUCCGGCCCACGGGUGCACGGUGGUGAGCGCUGGAAGUCAGACUAGCUGGAGUUCCCACAGUUGGUUUCACAAAGCCUCCCAUUCUUACAUCACAAGCAGACUAGGAUUGCAGAAGGCAACACUUAACUUCAAAGGACCCACCUCUCCUGCCACCCGCCCACAGCGCACACCUGACUCAGAACCACCUGUGCUUCUCACGGGCUGCAGACUUAGCUACAGACUCCAUGAACAAUUGCCUGGUGUGUUCGAAUUUGGCUGAAAUGGAACAUCUCCCUCUCAUCGACCCGACACUUUCGCCUCUAUCCUUCUGCACGCCUGUCCCAAGACAAACCUCGCUGCUCUGGAAGUUCCUGGGUCACAGCUCUUUCUGCCUUUGUUCGUCCAUUUACUCCGCUGGAGCUCACGCUCUCCCCCUGCUGUGCUCCGCAGUCUUCCAGAGCCAGGCGUCCCUCGACUGUGCCUCCUCUGGGCUCUGCAGUCCUACACUGCCCGACCCUGUCCCACCUGGACUACGACAAGCUCUUCUGGACCCUCUACGGUGGGCACGUAGCAAGCAUCAGCAACAGAAGCACUAAAAGCAGCAUCCUGCAGGCGUGUUCUGGGACUCGAGGCUGCAACAGGACAAGACCAGCUCAGACACUGCGGAGCAGCAGCCGUGACUGGAGUUACGAACACAGAAGCACCCAGACUGUGUCCCGAAACAGUGCCAGACUUCAUCAGGUCUACAAUGACAGCAC
RNAcentral lists this long non-coding RNA (1084 nucleotides) under Heterocephalus glaber (naked mole-rat). RNAcentral's name for it is "lncRNA (ENSHGLG00000048496.1)". The record is from RNAcentral. Lineage: Eukaryota; Metazoa; Chordata; Mammalia; Rodentia; Bathyergidae.